AACGAACGCUGGCGGCAUGCCUAACACAUGCAAGUCGAACGAGAUCUUCGGGUCUAGUGGCGCACGGGUGCGUAACGCGUGGGAAUCUGCCCUUUGGUUCGGAAUAACAGUUGGAAACGACUGCUAAUACCGGAUGAUGACGAAAGUCCAAGGAUUUAUCGCCAGAGGAUGAGCUCGCGUAGGAUUAGCUAGUUGGUGUGGUAAAGGCGCACCAAGGCGACGAUCCUUAGCUGGUCUGAGAGGAUGAUCAGCCACACUGGGACUGAGACACGGCCCAGACUCCUACGGGAGGCAGCAGUGGGGAAUAUUGGACAAUGGGCGAAAGCCUGAUCCAGCAAUGCCGCGUGAGUGAUGAAGGCCUUAGGGUUGUAAAGCUCUUUUACCCGGGAUGAUAAUGACAGUACCGGGAGAAUAAGCUCCGGCUAACUCCGUGCCAGCCGCCGCGGUAA
RNAcentral lists this ribosomal RNA (449 nucleotides) under uncultured bacterium. RNAcentral describes it as "partial 16S ribosomal RNA". It matches the Rfam family "Bacterial small subunit ribosomal RNA", at positions 29 to 523 of the family's 1533-position model. The record is from RNAcentral.